Molecule: long non-coding RNA, 510 nt
Filed under: Bos taurus (domestic cattle)
Lineage: Eukaryota; Metazoa; Chordata; Mammalia; Artiodactyla; Bovidae
Description: long non-coding RNA NONBTAT023430
Source: RNAcentral
UGAUAUUUCAAAGCAAAAUGUGUUCAUAAUGCUUUAAAAAGAACAUGUAUGCUUUUUUAGCAUUUGAUGUUUUUUUAAAUGACUUAAUCCAAAAUUUAGAGGAAAUGCCUUUCUAAAAAACUGUUAACCUGCAGAAUGUUAUAAUCAUUCUUUUUUUGUCUUAGCAAUUUCCCAGAUACAGUUCCCAUACUGGAAAUAUUCCUAAUAGCUGCUAAAUUUGUCAAGAAUAAAGUUUUUUCUGUUGAAUCUAUUAGAACAUGUCUACUUUUCUCAUGGGCUGUUGAAAAAUGAAAAACUCCCUUUCUCCCAGGGGUGCUAACAUCUUUUCCUUUUUGCCGAUGACAAUUACUACCAUAUCAUUAGUAGCCAACAAACACCUGAUGGUUGCCAACAUAGCUAAAAUUAGAAAUCCACAGGAUUCAGAAUGACAUUACUAAAACAAGAAAUCUGAACAUGUAAAAAAAAUAACUCCAUAAACAAUAGAACAGUGACAUGAACAUCAGUUUUAUU